Podarcis lilfordi (Lilford's wall lizard) is the source of this 69-nucleotide non-coding RNA. The record is from the annotation of a GenBank genome assembly. NCBI's taxonomy places the organism in Eukaryota, Metazoa, Chordata, Lepidosauria, Squamata, Lacertidae.
GAAUAGCUUAGUCAGCAGAACAUGAGACUCUUCAUCUCAGGGUUGUGGGUUUGAGCCCCACGUUGGGCA